Long non-coding RNA from Mobula hypostoma (lesser devil ray), 522 nucleotides. RefSeq lists it as uncharacterized. Lineage: Eukaryota; Metazoa; Chordata; Chondrichthyes; Myliobatiformes; Myliobatidae. The record is from RefSeq and is a predicted model, not a curated record. The transcript has 3 exons.
GGGGGGGCGGUUUGGUGUGUGCACUUUCGGUGGCCCGCGUUCGGGCUGCGGGUCCCAGCACUUCCGCCAUGAGGAAGCAGAUGGACAGUUCAGCCGCAGUCCCCAGGGACUAGACGGGCAGGCCAGCCUUAGUAACCGGAACCCCAGCGGGCUGGAUGGACAGUAGUAAAAAUUAAUUCCUGAUGAAGGGUCUCGGCCUGAAACAUCGACUGCACCUCUUCCUGGAGAUGCUGCCUGGUCUGCUGCGUUCACCAGCUAUUUUUAUGUAUUUCAUUCCACAUUACCAUUGACAUGGUUCUGAUGAACCCCUUUAUUCAAGCAUUGCAGUGUUUGUGAUGAAAGUGCUCUCACAAAGAAUUCGGUCUUCAUGGUGGAGGACAUGUCCAACAUGACAAGGAGAAAUGUUAUGGAUACGAUGGGAGUACAAGUUAAACUCCAUGGCAUCCUUGGACCACUCGAUGUGAUUCUAUGCUCCAUUCCAGGCAGGUGAAUGGAUAUUGUAUGAGUGCGAGAGUCCAUAGG